UACGAAGGGGGCUAGCGUUGUUCGGAUUUACUGGGCGUAAAGGGCGCGUAGGCGGAUUUUUAAGUCAGGGGUGAAAUCCCACGGCUCAACCGUGGAACUGCUGGGUAUACUGGUUGUCUUGAGCCAGCUAGGGGCGAGCGGAACAGACGGUGGAGCGGUGAAAUGCGUAGAUAUCGUCUGGAACGCCGAAGGUGAAAACAGCUCGCUGGGGCUGCGCUGACGCUGAGACACGAAAGCCAGGGGAGCGAACGGG
Molecule: ribosomal RNA, 253 nt
Filed under: uncultured bacterium
Lineage: Bacteria
Description: partial 16S ribosomal RNA
Rfam family: Bacterial small subunit ribosomal RNA
Source: RNAcentral